CGGUUCGCCUGCGCAGGGCAACUGUAUGAAAUCCGCAACCUGGGCGGCCGUCUCCUGGUCAAGGGUGCUCAUCACGUGGUAGUAACGCAUGGAAUCAGAAGAUAUCUGCCAAAUCUGGAACUGGGCUUCUGUUUGGCUAAACCACACUCGUGGUCGUAGCGUCCAGAAAGUCGGCAGUUUUAGUGAAACUGCGUGAACAAAUGAAGAGUCGGUCAUCUUUGGUCCAAAUCCUGUUUGGACCGUCAGGGUCACCAAUGUAAUGAUGUGCUACACACGGCGCUGAAAUAACGACACGCAGUCGGAGGAAGAAAUUGGUGUUCAUCGGCCAGUGCAUAUUAAGGGAUUGGAGGUGCAAAGGACCAGUAACUUAAAAUUCAUUGGCGUUACCAUAUCAGAGAAUCUGUCCUAGGACCGACACAUAAGUGCCAUUUCAAAGAAAGCAUAGCAGUGCCUCAACUUUCUUAGAACUUUGCGUAGAUUCAGCAUGCCAUCUAAAACUUGGACAAAGCUCCAUUGAUGCACAGUGGAGAGUAUUGCAUCCCAGCCUGCUGUGGAAACACGUGCCCAAGGGUAGAAAAGCCUACAAACUGUGUUGGAUAUAGCCCAGUUCAUCACAGGAAAAGCCCUCCCCACCAGACAGAGAGUAUAUCUACAAAGAGCCACAAGAAAGUAGCAUUCAUCAUCAAGGACCCCCUCCAGGCAUCUCUCUUCUCACUGCUACCAUCAAGAAGGAUGUACAGGAACCUUAGUUUAAUAUCACCAAGUUCAGGAACAGUUACUACACCUCAACCAUCAGGCUCCUGAAUCAAGGUGGACAUCUUCACUUAUUACAACACUGAACUGAUUGUUGAACACAACCUGCUGACCCACAUUCAAGGACUCUAUAACUCAUGCUCUUAGUAUUUACCUUUCUAUCUGUCUGCCUGUCUACUUGUUUGUUUAUUAUUAUUACUUAUUUCUUGUAUUUGCAGUUUGUUAGUCUUUGUGUGUAGUUUUUCAUUGAUUCUAUCGUACUUUGUUCUAGUGUGAAUGCCUGCAAGAAAACCUAUCUCAGAGUUGUAUUUGGUGACAUACUGUA
Long non-coding RNA from Hypanus sabinus (Atlantic stingray), 1078 nucleotides. RefSeq lists it as uncharacterized. The transcript has 3 exons. The record is from RefSeq and is a predicted model, not a curated record. NCBI's taxonomy places the organism in Eukaryota, Metazoa, Chordata, Chondrichthyes, Myliobatiformes, Dasyatidae.